GACGAACGCUGGCGGCGUGCUUAACACAUGCAAGUCGAACGGAAAGGCCCUGCUUUUGUGGGGUGCUCGAGUGGCGAACGGGUGAGUAACACGUGAGUAACCUGCCCUUGACUUUGGGAUAACUUCAGGAAACUGGGGCUAAUACCGGAUAGGAGCUCCUGCUGCAUGGUGGGGGUUGGAAAGUUUCGGCGGUUGGGGAUGGACUCGCGGCUUAUCAGCUUGUUGGUGGGGUAGUGGCUUACCAAGGCUUUGACGGGUAGCCGGCCUGAGAGGGUGGCCGGCCACAUUGGGACUGAGAUACGGCCCAGACUUCUACGGGAGGCAGCAGUGGGGAAUAUUGCACAAUGGGCGGAAGCCUGAUGCAGCAACGCCGCGUGCGGGAUGACGGCCUUCGGGUUGUAAACCGCUUUCGCCUGUGACGAAGCGUGAGUGACGGUAAUGGGUAAAGAAGCACCGGCUAACUACGU
RNAcentral lists this ribosomal RNA (467 nucleotides) under uncultured bacterium. RNAcentral's name for it is "partial 16S ribosomal RNA". It matches the Rfam family "Bacterial small subunit ribosomal RNA", at positions 28 to 506 of the family's 1533-position model. The record is from RNAcentral.